RNAcentral lists this RNase P RNA (589 nucleotides) under Puccinia graminis f. sp. tritici CRL 75-36-700-3. RNAcentral describes it as "Nuclear RNase P". It matches the Rfam family "Nuclear RNase P". From Rfam's summary of the family: Ribonuclease P (RNase P) is a ubiquitous endoribonuclease, found in archaea, bacteria and eukarya as well as chloroplasts and mitochondria. Its best characterised activity is the generation of mature 5'-ends of tRNAs by cleaving the 5'-leader elements of precursor-tRNAs. Cellular RNase Ps are ribonucleoproteins. Lineage: Eukaryota; Fungi; Basidiomycota; Pucciniomycetes; Pucciniales; Pucciniaceae. The record is from Rfam by way of RNAcentral.
GCCAGACCGAAGACCGCGGCUCGUCGUUCAUACUUUCAGGUCCCACACAUGCUGUGGUCGUCCUUGUAUCACCUACUUUGCGACUGGGUUAAGGUCCGAGUCUUUCAAUCCCCUCAGGAGCUUCUCUCCUGGCCUGUCCAUCGGUCGGACUCUAUAAACUCUCAAGGGGUUUGCUCUUGUAAACACUCGAGCAGGGCCCAUCAUCAGAAAUCGCUCUCGUCUCUUACUGGACAGCCGAACGAAUCCGGUCGAGACGGCUCAUUCUGGGAUCGUCUCGCAUCUUUCAUAUCUGACUAGUAGUUAACACAGAUCGGGCCGAAGACAUCGAGUCACCUCGACGAGGACCUUUCGCGUCUACGAGUCUCAGAUUAAUAUUUUUGCAGGCAUCCUGGAUGAGCUACCAGCUCUGACUACGAUUCUUCAGUUUUCUCUAGGGGACGAGAUUGGGAACGGUGGGUGGGGGUAGCGCUGGCUGUCUGUUGCCCCUUGGGCCUGGCAGUUGUCGAUUUAGUGCAAUCCGCGGUGAGCGAGUCCUCGAAGGUCUUCUUCUUCGCUCGCUCAACUCAAUUCGGACUACUCUUGGCCUGGC